UACGGAGGGUGCGAGCGUUGUCCGGAAUCACUGGGCGUAAAGGGCGCGUAGGCGGCCUGUUAAGUUGCCGGUGAAAUCCCGGGGCUCAACCCCGGGGCUGCCGGUAAGACUGGCGGGCUCGAGCACGGUAGAGGCAGAUGGAAUUCCCGGUGUAGCGGUGGAAUGCGUAGAGAUCGGGAAGAACACCAGUGGCGAAGGCGUUCUGCUGGGCCGUUGCUGACGCUGAGGCGCGACAGCGUGGGGAGCAAACAGG
Molecule: ribosomal RNA, 253 nt
Filed under: uncultured bacterium
Lineage: Bacteria
Description: partial 16S ribosomal RNA
Rfam family: Bacterial small subunit ribosomal RNA
Source: RNAcentral